This 307-nucleotide ribosomal RNA is filed under the name uncultured eukaryote. Its description in RNAcentral is "partial 18S ribosomal RNA". It matches the Rfam family "Eukaryotic small subunit ribosomal RNA", at positions 1470 to 1796 of the family's 1831-position model. The record is from RNAcentral.
CCCUUAGACGUUCUGGGCCGCACGCGCGCUACACUAACACAGGCAACGAGCUUUCCUUUACCGAAAGGUAUGGGUAAUCUUUUGAAACUGUGUCGUGCUGGGGAUAGAUCCUUGCAAUUUUUGAUCUUAAACGAGGAAUUCCUAGUAAGCGCGAGUCAUCAACUCGCGUUGAUUACGUCCCUGCCCUUUGUACACACCGCCCGUCGCUACUACCGAUUGAAUGGCUUAGUGAGGCCUCAGGAUCCGCGCUUAAUGUGUGGAGAAUUUGGACAAACUACGUCAUUUAGAGGAAGUAAAAGUCGUAACA